Molecule: long non-coding RNA, 542 nt
Filed under: Helianthus annuus (common sunflower)
Lineage: Eukaryota; Viridiplantae; Streptophyta; Magnoliopsida; Asterales; Asteraceae
Description: hypothetical non coding rna
Source: RNAcentral
UUUAUAACCGAUGAAACUUUGCGUAAAAAGCAAAGCGAUGAAACCGAUUGGAUUUUAAUAUUGUGGCGAGUGGAUUUCAGUUCAGUGCAUCUGCUUUCAGGUUUCCUCCCCUACUCAUUAGCCCCAAUUUGAUUCCUUUUUAUUUUUAUUUUAAGGUGUUCUCCAUCAAUUCCAAGUUUUAGUAAAAAAGGUUUGUUUACUAAAAACUUCAUGGUUUUUCUGCUGAAUCAAUGAUAUAUGUCUGUUUACUCCAAUGGAGUGAAUCGAUGAUGUAUGUACAUAUUGUUAAAACAAUAGUUUUACAUGUUCUUUUUCGUUGUCGGACAAAGGGUAAAAUGGUAACAUUUGAACAUUCCAUCCAAUAAUGUAAGGCAAGUGAAUUCCAUAACUGAGAUAAAAAAAAACAUAAUUUUGAAUGGAAUGUUUUCUAAAUCCGUUAUGUAAUCCAAUUAAUUGCGCGAACCAAAUGAACCCGAAGGUAAAUAUUCAAUUCAAUCAAUACAUUAGUGUGCAAAUCAAAUAAACCAUUACCUUGUUUGCUU